RNAcentral lists this ribosomal RNA (253 nucleotides) under uncultured bacterium. Its description in RNAcentral is "partial 16S ribosomal RNA". It matches the Rfam family "Bacterial small subunit ribosomal RNA", at positions 524 to 776 of the family's 1533-position model. The record is from RNAcentral.
UACAGAGGUCUCAAGCGUUGUUCGGAUUCAUUGGGCGUAAAGGGUGCGUAGGCGGCGCGGUAAGUCCGCUGUAAAAGUCCAGGGCUCAACCCUGGAAAGCCGGUGGAUACUGUCGGGCUAGAGUCCGGAAGAGGCGAGUGGAAUUCCUGGUGUAGCGGUGGAAUGCGCAGAUAUCAGGAGGAACACCGAUGGCGAAGGCAGCUCGCUGGGACGGUACUGACGCUGAGGCGCGAAAGCGUGGGGAGCGAACAGG